Molecule: long non-coding RNA, 372 nt
Organism: Syngnathus typhle (broad-nosed pipefish)
Lineage: Eukaryota; Metazoa; Chordata; Actinopteri; Syngnathiformes; Syngnathidae
Exons: 3
Source: RefSeq, a predicted model, not a curated record
AGAUGUGCGGCGCUGGCGGCGGUGCGCUUGCGAGCGCGUGUCGGCAUCGCUAUCCGUCUCUCCGUAGUAGGCCUCGCUGUCCGGCGGCGAGGUCACGCCGCUGGGUUCGAUGGAGGAACUCACAGAGAGAAGCGGAGGAGGCCUUUUUCCAUGACUGGCUUCCAACUCCUCUUAAAGAGGCUAUUCUUAUCCUGCAGCUCUGUGACCCAUCAUUCCCCGACCAGGCUUAUCUGAGAGGCUUCUGCUGCUCCCUUCCUCCCUGGAGCCUGAAGCCCCACGGGACGCCCCCAGAAAGGGAGACCACGAUCUCCUCCGCCACCAUCCCUGCUCCAGGUCUUCUUGUGUGGGUGCGAGGGUCUUCGCUUGCUCACA